This is a long non-coding RNA of Panicum virgatum (switchgrass), 1060 nucleotides long. RefSeq lists it as uncharacterized. The record is from RefSeq and is a predicted model, not a curated record. The transcript has 3 exons. Lineage: Eukaryota; Viridiplantae; Streptophyta; Magnoliopsida; Poales; Poaceae.
UACCGUUUAUCAAAAAAAAAGAUGAAGCGACGAGCAGCGCGAGCGCUGUACGAACUGCUGCGGCUCGUCGACGGCGGCGAGGAUCCGGUGCGCAUGGAGGGAAUCGUUUGGCGGCAGCAGUUCGCGCCAUCUUCCCCGAAAAAUCCCCUCCUCUCUUGAUAAAAUCCCCCCGCGCGGUGCUCCUCUCCUACCUGAUGCCACCAUGGCGCGGCAGGCAGAGAAGGCGGUGGCGGCGGCCCGAGGUGCUCUGCGCACGGCGCUGCGGCAGGCACGGGUGCGGUGGCCUGCGGACCCAGCAGUGGUGGCAAGAGGGCGAGGCCCCGCCCGUGCAUCUCAACGCCUAGCCGCAGCCUGUGGGACAGCGGAAGCCUCCCCACCGCAGCUCAAGCCCAUGCUCGCUCGCGGCACGGCCGCCGAGAUCUCCCCACCGUCGCCGAGGCCUCCAUGGCGCCGCUCGCCCACGAUGUCUCCUCUGCUCGCUCUCGUAGGGGCUCCGUGCCUCCAUGGGGCUAGUGGCACAUCCAAUUUUAGUUUUCGCCAACGCCUAGACCUGAUCCAGGUCCUUUUCAUGGCCUCCCCGAGCACGACGCUUCUAGCUUGACGCACAGGCACCAGCUCAGCAAAGGAGCAAAAGGAGGCAACACAGAUGAAAAGUAGAUCAUGCAGAUACUAUGAAGUAUUUGAAACAGAACUUAUUUGCUAAGAAUUGAGAGGGAAGCGUUUGGACCUGGUGUUUAAGGAUCUGCUGGAUUUUUAUGAACCGAGUAUCUUCUGCAAGUGUAAACUAUCAUCUUUUAUUUAUUUAUUUGCCUCCAUCUGUGAACAAGUGUGAACUGAUGGAUGCAUGUAUGCUCGUGUGAAAUAACAUGUCUGGGUGCUUGCAUUCCCUUGUGAUUAUUAUGGUAUGGUUGCAACACAAUGUUCUAGUGCAGUGGAAAUUCAAGUGUCGUGCUGCCUGCAUACAUUCCUUUGUGUAUUUUUAUGUAUAUAAGCAGUUAGUAAAGUAUUAGAAUAUAUUUAUUCCAUUCUCUACUCCAUGGAACCUACUUUGCCUGACGAA